UGAUGAAAAAGUAUGAUAAGGUGAAAAAAGUGACAUUUUAUGUCUAGACAGUCACUUUUCAUCAAAAGUACCAUAACAAAACUAGUUUGCAUUCAUCCUGUGUCUCCUUACACACUUGUGCUCUUUAUUCCGCUCAAAACGCUAUAGAGCGAACGAGAAGGCGCUAGGAGCAAAGGAAAGUGGUUUUUCUAACAAACUCAUAUAAGUCAUUGCCCGACCUACUCCAAUUUGAUUUUUUUCACAUAGUUAGACAUAAUAUAGUACUAUGAAAUGUUUCUGACCCAAAAUAUUACGAAAUAUGAUUGUUUACAUUAAAAUGCAAAAGUUGAUGAAAAAGUAUGAUAAGAUGAAAAAAGUGACAUUUGAAGUGUAGAAAGUCACUUUUCAUCAAAAGUACCAUAACAAAACUUGUUCCCAUUUAU
Molecule: long non-coding RNA, 422 nt
Organism: Ictalurus punctatus (channel catfish)
Lineage: Eukaryota; Metazoa; Chordata; Actinopteri; Siluriformes; Ictaluridae
Source: Ensembl